Molecule: long non-coding RNA, 231 nt
Filed under: Helianthus annuus (common sunflower)
Lineage: Eukaryota; Viridiplantae; Streptophyta; Magnoliopsida; Asterales; Asteraceae
Description: sRNA HanXRQr2_Chr07g0298171
Source: RNAcentral
GUCAUCAUCACUCAUGGCUUGACUCUCAAUAGCAAUUGUACAUCAGUGGCACUUCGGAGCAGUGGGUUUUCCCAUUGCUAUGGCCAUCAACCACGGACGGUUCUAAACACCAAACAGUUAUACUCUUUCAUAAGAAGUUGCAACGUUUCAUUGUGUUUGUUACCCACAUAUAUUAAUAUGAUCUUUGAUCUCAUUUCUGGUAACAAAAUGUGAAAGCCAAAUAGAAGCCAG